GGCUAGUAUUACAACAGAAAGCUGCAUAAUGGCGUUAAGACGGUUUAUGGCCCGAAGAGGAGUCCCUUCUACGAUAAUUUCCGAUAACGCAAAAACUUUUAGGCGGGCUGCCUUAGAUUUAGAAAAGAUCAAGGAUCUGUUUGGUGAAGAAGAAGCACAAGGUUUCUUAUCCAAAAACAGAAUUCAAUAGGACUUUAUUGUGGAGAGAGCUCCCUGGUGGGGUGGCUUUUGGGAGCGUCUCAUCAGAUCAGUGAAAAACACCCUAAAGGUCACUAUCGGAAAAGCCAAACUGAAUUUCGAACAACUUCGAACCAUCCUAACAGAAGCCGAAGCCGUUGCCAACGAUAGACCCUUGACGUACGUGUCCAGUGACCCAUUAGAAUUGUCACCUCUUACACCAACAAAGUUUUUAUUGGGAUUCUCGUCAUCUAUUCCCGAUUUUCAAACAGCUGCAGAUGAAGAUGCAAAGCUAAGGGAGCUAUGGAAACAACGUAUGAAGUUCAAUGCGAAGCUUACAAAACGAUGGAAAAUAGAGUACCUUCAAACUCUUCGAUCUUUUCAUCACAAUAAAUUUAAAGAAUCAAUCCAACUAAAGGAAGGAGAUGUCGUUCUUCUUUAUGAUCAAGCAACUCCUCGUAUACACUGGAAGUUGGUAAUUAUAACUAAAGCCUACAUCGGAAGAGACCAAAAGGUACGCUCCUGUGAAAUUCGAUGCCCAAAUGGGAAGCUAUUCAGAAGACCAGUCCAGCUCCUAUAUCCACUGGAGCUUUCAAGUAUCGCCCCGCCGGAAGAUGUUGAAAAAUAACCAAUCUACCAACACUAUUUUCAUUGUUCUUUGGUUUCUAUGUUUUGUAAUAGUAUUAGUUUUUAAAUCAUCAUCUAUGUAUAUUAAAUCAUCAUUAAUGUAUUAAUACAUAUUAAGUAUGUAUCAUAUUAUUUGCCUGCCAUUCUGGCAGUUGCAAUCUCGAUCUCAAAAAGAAAAGUCAUUUAAUUAAAAAGACAUUCGAUUAUUUUAAAAGAUUUGCGUUUUUAAUUUCAAUAUUCAAUUUGCGUUGUUUUUUAAUAGACACAACAACCAAAGUUAACUUUGUUUAAUAAAAGAACAGACCAAUGGUGGUUAAUUUUUGGUUACUUUCUUGGUUAAUUAAAAUGUUGAUUUUGUUCUAACAAACGUACAGCUGCGGUCAAAAGUUUUAAUCUAAUAUAAUAGACCAAGUCCGUAGUAGAACAAGUUUCUCCAAACCCUUAUACUGGACCCUGGAAUAUUCUCUGGACUGAUGAGAGCAAAUUGAUUCUUAUGGUGGCAAAGGGUCUCGGUAGUACUACUGAACACGAAAUAUAACCCUAGGUAUAGCAGAAAAACCAUUAAAAACGGAGGAUGGAGUACAAUGGUUUGGGGAAACUUGUUCUACUACGGAAUUUACUAAAAAAAAGAAAAUCACUGCUAUUAUUUUGACCGCUUAAUUUUGUUUUUGGAUUAUUGCUUAGCUAUUAGCAAUAUAUUAAAUUUCAUUCAUACUAAAAAUUAAUCUAGAAUGUAUCUGAAAUAGUUUUACUAAAAAAAAAUCCAACAUCGAAACUCUUUUUAUGUUUUAUGUUUUACUUAAAAUAUUUUUCGAUGCACUGCUAUUUUUUUGACCGCCACUGUAGGUACUAUAUUUACAUGUACAGUACAUGCAUAUAAAAUAAUUUUUUUACAAGAAAAAUGCGCACAAGAGACUAAAAAACUUUGUUUAUUUUGAAUUUUUUUUGGUUCAUGCCACCACCAACACACAAAAAAAAAAACAUUACAUGAUAGAAACAGUCUGGUUGAACUUUUGCUUGCUUUCUUACGUUUGUCAAAAAAAGCGUACGUAGAAAAAGCGUCAUUGUGUGAGGUUACACAGAUUUCGUAUGGUUGAACUUUUGGCAGUUGUCAAAAUCGACGGCAAAGCGUGAUUGUGUAUCUGCUUUAACAGCGCCGAAUAAAAAAGGAAGAAGUGAUAUUAAUGUCCGAAUUUGUUGGUCAUUAACAUAAAGUAGCGCCUAGCUUUCUGAAACAAUUUGGAAUAGUAUUUCCUGUUCUUGUUUUUGAGACAGAACAUGUUAGAAUACAUUCGUGAGAAUUUUCAUACGUGUUUUUUGAUGUUUUUUUUUUCAGAUGUUUUUCACGGAACUGUUCUGCCUGUUCUGAUCUAUUUCCUCGUUGAGCACUACUUAAAUUAUACAAAUUACAUUUCAGUUAUAUUUAUUUCACAUCUUCAAGAAAAUUCAAAUCAUGCACAAACAUAGUAUUUUCAGAUAUAAACUGAGGCUCUCCAUCCUGCAGAAUUUUCACAAAUAUCUUUAAGGAAUGUUCCAAGAAUGAUGGAAAAGAAGCAGUUUGCACAAUCACUUCAAAAUGUUCACUUAAUUCUUGAGCAGCUUUUAGUUUGAUUUCAUCCUUUGCAGAGGAAUCACCUAGCAUUGUAACAUAGCUUCUGAAGGUAUUCACCUCGGUUGGAUCCAGCUCAUGUGUUCCCAUUUUCUAAAUUAAUUCAACUGACUUGUGUGUUUAACAUUUAUAAAGUAAUAAAUAUAAUUAAGUAUAGUAUCAAGCUGCAGCUAAUUUGUUUACAAAGUUUAAAAUUAAUAAAUAUUAAACAAACGUCGGUGCCAAAACGUUAACGGGAAUACAAAUUAACUGGAAUAGUCAGGGUUUACAUUCGACGAUUUUUCCAAUGCCCGUUUUUAUUCCUUGUAAUCCUAAUCAUCGACAAACUAUACCAAGACUGGAAACUGAGCUGUCAACCCUUCCAGCAAGAAAACGGAGUUCAGAAAAGACAGUCCGACCUCCGACUGAGAAAAACGGGGUUGCACUCACACACUUGCAACUCUUUGUGUAUGAACACAAAGUCGAAGGAGAAUCGUGGUGAAAAAGUGAGAAAAGGAAAACUAACGUAGGAAAGACAAAGACAACAAGACAAGGUAUAAUGCGUCAUUUUGUUAUUAUUUGUCGUUUGUUGCAGUAUCUCGUCGUAGGUCGGGUCGUGCCUCGUUCUUAAACUAAAUACAUUGUUUUAUUAAUAUGGACAAUUUUAUUUCAAAAAAAGGAGUUCAAUAAUGAGACGCUAGCUGAGAAUCACCCUAACCCAAACUUCCCACAACGCACAACAGCUACAACAUUCUUCAAUGAUCCAAAUUCUCCAGCAGCUGUAUCAACGAAUACAAUAAAAAAAAAAUUUUUGUUAAAAAAAAAAACAAUAAAAAAAUUUAAGAAAAAGAAAAUAAUUCGAGUUUUGUUUUGUUUGCAAAUGCUUCCAAAUGUCAAGCGCCAUUUUUUUUCCAUUCCAAUGCCGGAGGUCAUUCAUUCCGACUUCGGCUCCGUUUUCUCGGAAUGGAGGUUUUCACCUCACCAAAACAUAUGCAAUCGACUUCGCGGUGAUUAUAAUUUCCAUACUAAAUUGAGC
Molecule: long non-coding RNA, 3428 nt
Organism: Episyrphus balteatus (marmalade hoverfly)
Lineage: Eukaryota; Metazoa; Arthropoda; Insecta; Diptera; Syrphidae
Exons: 4
Source: RefSeq, a predicted model, not a curated record